Molecule: long non-coding RNA, 625 nt
Filed under: Equus caballus (horse)
Lineage: Eukaryota; Metazoa; Chordata; Mammalia; Perissodactyla; Equidae
Description: lncRNA (ENSECAG00000058507.1)
Source: RNAcentral
CUUAAGGCUUCAUGAAAUGUGGACGAUGGCAUCACAAGCCUGAAAGGGCUGUUGUGAAUCUUCAGUGCGUUCAUACAUGUCAAGCACUCAGGGACAGGCCCAAGGACAGGUUCUCAGAAGUGAAAUUAGUGGAUCAAAAACUCCAAGUAUGGCAUUAUGUGACAAACUCUGGCCAAUGGGACCUGAAGGGAAGUGACACGUGUCAUCAGAAGAGAGCGUGUUCCAGAUGCUAUAGCUACAAGAUUAUGAGAGCCCAUCAACUGAGGUCCCUGAGUGGAUAUUGGAACACAUGCUCCUGCCAACACACUUUGGAUAGGUAGUUUAAGCCAGAAAUAAACUUUUGUUAUGUUAAGCAACUAUUAUUUUGGAAUUGUUGCUGAAGCAUAGUCUAGCACUGGGAAUGGCAAAUUUUUACUGUAAAGACCCAGAUAGUAAAUAUUUUCAGUGAAAGCAGCCUUGGCCAGUACAUAAAUGAAUGUGGCUGUGUUCCAAUAAAACUUUAUUAAUAAAAACUGGCAGCAACUGGAUUUGGCCCAAGGGUAUAGUUUGUCAAUACUUGGUCUAUCAUAUCCUGACUAUACAUUUCCAAAGUAUUAUCUUUCUUUACUCUAAAAUCUCAUUAAAA